This 464-nucleotide long non-coding RNA is filed under the name Citrus x clementina. Its description in RNAcentral is "Citrus clementina (C. clementina) long non-coding RNA (CCLE_LNC001266)". Lineage: Eukaryota; Viridiplantae; Streptophyta; Magnoliopsida; Sapindales; Rutaceae. The record is from RNAcentral.
GCUUCAAUGGCAGCCUCAGCUGGUAGGAAGUCCUCCACGUCAACUUUCUUAUUCUCGUUCUUCUUGUCUUUUUAUUCAUGAUGAAUGAAGGAUAUUACAAAUGUAUGGAGUAUAUAUUUUAGAUCGGACGAGCAGAUGUACAUGCUCUCAAUCAUGUUAUCAGUUGAUGCUAAAGCAAUGCAACUCUAUGUUAUCAGUCGAUGCUACUGCAAUGCAACUCUUAAGUUAUCAGUUGAUGCUAAUGCAAUGCAACUUAUGCAUAUUGGGAGUGGUGCUGACCGCUGAGUGCUGACUCAAGUAAUCAAUGAGACUAUAUGAGAGAAUGAUAAAUACAAGUGAGUGGAUACAGUCCUCAAAGAAGCGGCGUAUUUCAGCCAGACGAUGUGGCGGAAGCUCCUUGAUAUCCUUGUAAUGGCGAAACUCGGGGUCAUCAGCACAUACAGCUAUAAUCUUGUCAUCCUUUU